RNAcentral lists this long non-coding RNA (1458 nucleotides) under Homo sapiens (human). Its description in RNAcentral is "HSALNT0365728". The record is from RNAcentral. Lineage: Eukaryota; Metazoa; Chordata; Mammalia; Primates; Hominidae.
AAGGAGUUGUUAUGGAUGUGUUCCCCCAAAUUUAGAAGUUGAAAUGUAAAACACCAAUGUGAUAAUAUUAACAGGCGGAGGCAUUAUGAGGUGAGUAAGUUGUCAGGGCAAAGCCCUCAAGGAUGGGACUAGGACCCUUUAAAAGGACCUGAAGGAAUGGGUUUGGCCUCUUCCCUCCCUUCCGCCACUGAGGACACAGCGUUCAUCCCCUCUAGAGAAUGCAGCAGGAAGGGUCCAUCUUGGAAGCUGAGACGGGACUCUCACCAGACACAGAGACUGCCAAUGCCUUGAUCUUGAACAUUCCAGCAUCCAGAACGGAUUCCCAGAGAGAAGGAAAGGGUGUCUUCACUAGGCUUCAUGGUAGCAAGCACAAUCACUGCAUAAGAAGUGCAGGGACAGCAGAGUGACCCUUCUGUGAACACAUCCAAUGACUGGAGUCCGGAGGCCUAUGGGCUGGAAGUGAGUGUGCCAACAACCAGAGCCCUGGGUAAGAAGGGAACUGCAUCGCAAGGAGGCCCAAUUAAACUGCAAUUACUCAAGAUAAGAAAACGAGGUCUGUUUACACAAUGGGGUUGUAAACCACCGGCUGUGACAAGAGAACUUUGAUCUGGUGGCAAGGGAGCUGUUUCUCAUGCAGGGCAGUGAUGAAACAAGGAGGUUUCCCAAUGAGGAUGUCUCCAUCUUCACCCCAGUAGCCCCAUCUUCUUCUGGUAGCACCCUUGCAUGGACAAGCGGAAAUCCUCACCCCUUCCCAGCCCCAGUAUCCACCUAACACAAUCAAAAAGUGAAGAAUAGAAAGAGAUGAGAUAGUGACUAAAAGGAAAAGAGAAUUGAUGGAGGUCAUCUUUGUGGAGGCGCUUGACAAGCAUGUUCUCACUGAACCGUCACAGUGACCUUCCACGUACCUUAUACCAUGCCUAUUUUACAGAUGAAGACACUGAGGUUCAGAGGAGAGCAGUGCCUCCCAAACUGUAAUGUGCAUAUGAAUCACCCGGGGAUCCUGUUACAAUGCAGUCUGCUGCAGUAGGUCUGAGGUCUGGCCAGACAUUCCACAUUUCUAACAAGCUCCCACGUGGUGCUGAUGCCGCAGGUCAGAGGACUUCACUGUGAGUAGCAAGGCAGCGCUGGACUAACUUGGUUGAACUCAUGAGUGAUUAUAACAAGGAACAACAGGUGAGCAAGACUCUCAACAGCAGCAGUGGCCACCCUGCAGCCCUUGUGCACAGCCCACGGCCCCUGAAGAAAAAGCGUUUUCUCUUUGGAUAAAAAUAGGCCACCAAACCCAAAACCACAACUGAUGAAAGAGUUAUAGUAUCAGUAAUUUUACAAAUCAAAUGGAGCUGAUGGAGUUAUCAUUUUAGAAUUGGUAUUUCCUGCUGUUUAACAAAUACUUUUUUCUCAGUUGCAUGGCAGUGGUCUAAAGUAAGAAGGAAAAUGGACUUGAGAUUAAAAACAAAA